Long non-coding RNA from Rattus norvegicus (Norway rat), 1478 nucleotides. RefSeq lists it as uncharacterized. NCBI's taxonomy places the organism in Eukaryota, Metazoa, Chordata, Mammalia, Rodentia, Muridae. The record is from RefSeq and is a predicted model, not a curated record.
CACAAGGUUAAGAAGCGAGACUUCUGGUUUCAAACGUCCAUCUACACACAGGGAAUUCCAACUCAAUUUGUCAGAACCAACUGACUCGAAUGUCCUCUAACAUCUCCCAACAAUGUUUAUCUGUUUAGAUUCUUGGUCAUUUAAAGAAGGCAAAUGACUGGCUGAACCGAGAGUCACAGCAAAUACACUGGAGAAGAACACCUGAGGAAUUUAUCCUCAAGGGGCACGGCUAUGACACAGUCUCCCAGACUGAGCUGCUAUUUUCACUUCCGAGGAGAGGAGGAAGAGAGCAGAGUAGGUCCUCUUAACACACGUGAUCCACGCACUCGUGGGGCACAGAAGCAGUGAAGGUCUCUUUUGGGAAGGCUGACCUUACUUGUCUGGCUCGUGCCCAUCUCUGCCAGGGAAAAAAGUCUACCAAGAAGAAGGGAUGGAGAAAGGAGGAGAUCAAGGAGCGGAGAGGGAAGUGGCAAAGCACGGGGAGCAUGGCGAACGGAAUUAACUUCCAGCAACACUUUAAAAUAGUAACAUGAAGCAGAUAAGGAAGAAAACUAAUAUAAUCUGGAAUGAAAAUGAAUUUGUAAAAUAGAAACGUCUGGUGUAUCAACAGCAUAACACUCUUCCCAGGGAGUCCCAACAGAAUGGUAGGUCACUGGUGGGCAGGUCUACUGCAACAUGAAAAACCCUGCAAGCUAAAUGCCUGAGACCCGAGCACGAGGCUAUCAGCAGCUGCACACGGCCCACGCCAGCCACCUAAGCACAUGAGCAGCUGCCCUGCGCUUUCUGCUCUCCUGCCCUACUGCACCCAGUCAACUUUGAACAGUUUACUUCACUCAUAUGGCCAACAUGAGAAGUGUCACCCUCCCAUUGUCUGUGCCCUGCAUGGGAACCUGGGGUCUUUAUUUCCUAAGAUCACAAGUUCUAACACCACAGCUGCAGAGAGCCAUGUCAGAGAGCCAGCAGAGCUCAGACCGAGGAGUGCUCACCAUGUCUUUUCCACCUGUGACCUCUUAUUGACAUGCUGGUAACUGCAUUCCUUGAUAUUCUGGAGGACGUUGGUGUGAUCUCCACUUGAAUACACCGUGUACCUUCCUUACUAGAUUUCAUGGCACCCGGAGGCAAUGAAGCCUUUAUUGCAUUAGCAACCUAAAAGGAAAUAAUGAAGUUGAAGACUGGUAAGCAGAUACACUACUUACUUUUAGAUGAAAUAUAAGGCUAAGCUUUACCAAAUUCAUAAGAAGAGUUUUCUCCCCAAGGUAUAUUAAUAUGAUGACACAUAAACCCUCCAAAAGAGAGAGUAGGAGGGACAGAGGGAUGCUUACACCUCAGAACAAUGUGAAGGUUUGUGGUUGGUAAAUAUCGAACUAGGUUUCUUUCUCAGCUUCAAAUGCUAACUGAAAAUGUACUUAGUGCGCUGAAAUUCUUAGGAGCAGAAGAAAGUACUUAGUUAAAUUAAAUCUCCAAUUUUUAUACAAGUA